Molecule: ribosomal RNA, 482 nt
Filed under: Konosirus punctatus (Konoshiro gizzard shad)
Lineage: Eukaryota; Metazoa; Chordata; Actinopteri; Clupeiformes; Clupeidae
Description: partial 16S ribosomal RNA
Rfam family: Bacterial large subunit ribosomal RNA
Source: RNAcentral
CAAAGGUAGCGCAAUCAAUUGUCUUUUAAAUGGAGACCUGUAUGAAUGGCAUAACGAGGGUUUAACUGUCUCUUUUUUUCGGUCAAUGAAACUGAUCUGCCCGUGCAGAAGCGGGCAUACCCACACAAGACGAGAAGACCCUAUGGAGCUUUAGACGCUCACCAACCACUAAAAGAGACCCGAUCUAACGGGCUUUCAAACAAUGUGGCCCUGGUAUAAACGUCUUCGGUUGGGGCGACCACGGAGGAGAGAAAAGCCUCCGAGAGGAUUGGGGGAAACCCUAAAACCAAGAGCCACAGCUCUAAGUCACAAAAUAUUUGACCGACAACGAUCCGGCUUCUUGCCGAUCAACGGACCAAGUUACCCUAGGGAUAACAGCGCAAUCCCCUCCCAGAGUCCAUAUCGACGAGGGGGUUUACGACCUCGAUGUUGGAUCAGGACAUCCUAAUGGUGCAGCCGCUAUUAAGGGUUCGUUUGNUCAA